RNAcentral lists this ribosomal RNA (253 nucleotides) under uncultured bacterium. RNAcentral describes it as "partial 16S ribosomal RNA". It matches the Rfam family "Bacterial small subunit ribosomal RNA", at positions 524 to 776 of the family's 1533-position model. The record is from RNAcentral.
UACGGAGGGGGCGAGCGUUAUUCGGAAUCAUUGGGCGUAAAGGGCGCGUAGGCGGCUUGGCAAGUGGAUGGUGAAAUCCCUCGGCUUAACCGAGGAACUGCCGUCCAAACUGCUUUGCUUGAGGCCGGGAGAGGCGAGUGGAAUUCCCAGUGUAGCGGUGAAAUGCGUAGAUAUUGGGAGGAACACCAGUGGCGAAGGCGGCUCGCUGGACCGGUUCUGACGCUGAUGCGCGAAAGCGUGGGGAGCAAACGGG